Cyanistes caeruleus (blue tit) is the source of this 2264-nucleotide non-coding RNA. The record is from RefSeq and is a predicted model, not a curated record. Lineage: Eukaryota; Metazoa; Chordata; Aves; Passeriformes; Paridae.
CACAGCAAACCACCCUGGAUUUGCAUAGCUCCAUGCCAUGUUUGUUUUUGCAGUGUUUCUGACAUAAACCCCUUUAGAGCUGCAUAGCUGAGAACCUUUUGGUACUAUGCAUUGUAUCCUGCUUUCUAUGAUAAUAGGAAAAAAAACCUUCUUUAUACGCUCAUGAUUUCAAGUACAUUUGGUUUGCCCAUCUAGAGGUUCCAUGACUAUUUGGAAACAGAUGAGCACUUUAUGAGGAGGCCUUCUACAGCUUACAGGCUCUGUCCCUUUUUUGGAACCUCACACAGAGGGGAGUGAAACCCAGAUUCCAGCUGGGGCAGGUUCCAAGUUCACUCUUGCUCCAAGGAAAUGGUGGGCAGCUUGGAGGGGAGCUGCCAGACUCAAAUGAUGUCUUGAACUCUGUAGUUCCCAGAUGAGGUCUCACCAGACUAGGUUUCAUGCCACCUGCAUUAGGCCCUUCUGCUUCCAGCUGAGCUGGACAAAAUGAGAGACAACUUCCUGUGCAUUUGGAACCUGUGCUUUCCAUUCUGGCAAGGGAACAAGGGACAGGUGAGUGAGCAAAGAGGAAAAGCUAACUGGCUUCUACCUCUUCUGAUUCAUGCUUUAUACUGGAUUUGGAGGGAAAAAGGCAGCAGAGAAGGUUUCUACGUUUUCUAGUGUGUCACUUGUCAGCAGGUGACAGGACUCUUGCUUGGAUGGAUGUGAGCUUGGCUUCCCAGCCAUUGCAGGGGUUUUUGUCGUGACCUCCCACUGUGGAGCAGGUGUGUGUCCUCAACUUGGUCACCCAGGUGUCAGGGCUCCUGCCCAGGAGAGAGCAGGUGCAGAAGAAGCCUAGGAAGGAGAUCAGCCUCCAGCAACCCUCUUGAAAAGAGUGACUCUUGGUUGCAGGGCCACAGGGAGCAAGGAUGGAUUAGGCUGGCCCAGGAGAGAGCUGUUACAUCACAGCCACUGGUGCUAUGUUGCAUCCCCACCCUGAGAGUCCUCAAGCCUGUCUGCCCUUCUGGAAUCCAGGUGCAGAUAUACCAGGGAUUUUCUCUGAAUCCUGGCUGGAAAGCAGGUGGGCUGCCCAGCCAGGGCACAGAGUUAUACACAUAGUGCCCACAAAGUUCUGGCCUGAGGUCUUUAAACAAGCUUGAGAAGGGUUUCAAGACAGCAUCUACAUGAGUCCAACUGUAGUGAAGAUAUUUAAUGACUCAGUUCAGGCUUGAGUCCACAGACAGAAGCAUUUUCUUCAACAGAAUAAGCCAGCAGAGGGAUUGAAAGGCCCUUAGCUGACCUCUGGAGUUUCCUGGUAGUCUGUUGAUGGUGCUAGUUAAGAAUAUUGUGAAUUCUGCUCUCUCCAGAGAAUUUUAAGACAGAAACAUUGCUUGCAGAGUUUUCUAAGGGAUUCUGAUCAACUUACGUCUGAAAAAGUGUGGUAAAAUCUGAACACUAACAUUGCAGCCCUUUGACCUCAAAUGUAUAUGCUGAAAAUUCAGAUCCCAUCUGGACCCAGUAAAUGUGUGACUUGAAAGAAGGCAAAUGAAUGAAGACUUCCAUACUCUGGAGCUUCAGCAGAGAGGUGCUGCAGAUCACCUGGGAAAAUUCCAGUACUAUGCUUUUGCACUUUGAGGAAUAAACUGAGAAGGCUACAGCUAUACUUCAUGGAUGUUUAUGUGCAGGCCUUGUCUGCUCACUGGGCUCCAGAACCACAGCUUUGCAUACAGCGCAUUUUGGCAGCCAGCUGCCCUUUGAGAACAAGAGAGGAUUUUCCAUACAGAAGAAUGAGAAUUAAUGUGUGAAAAUUGGUGGUACAGUGCAGCCCUGGUUGAAAGACUUGGACAUUGCCCUUGGCAAAGGACUUACCUUCCUCCUGUAGCCCACUGCCUUCUGAAGUAAGAUAAGACAGAGUUUUUCAGGUAGAAGGCUUUUCUGUCCAAAGCAGGAUUUCUCUGCUCUGUGUAGAGUGAUACAGUCCAGCUGAAAGCUCCUACAACACCCCUUGAGAAGAUGAAGGAUGACUUCAGCAACCCCUCUGUUAAUUUUCCUGUCUACAAGAAAGCAUGAAUUUAAUGAUAUCUUGACAACAAAUAUUUAUCUCAGGUUUCCUCUUCGGGAAGGAAGAGCUGGAAAACAAAUGUGAAUUGAUGGGAAUUGCGAGGUUCCUGGACACAACCUGUAGCCCAGCUAUCCUUGAGUCCUGUCUGUAGCUGCACUGAGUAUUUGGAGGAAGAUGCAAAUACUGCUGGAAUGGAUGAUUUCAAGUAAACUGCAAACAAACCUGC